GAACAUAUUGGUAUUAUUCAUCGGGUGUUGAUGCCUAAUUUACUAUAAGAUCCAACUGAUGUACUCGGUCUGUGAUUUUGAUACUUGUUUUAUCAUGGGACAAAGUUUCCUGCCUUUGCAUCUCAACCUUGUCUUUGCUAACUGUUAUAAACUAAAAAAAAAAGCCUACAAAAACCUGGAGCAUGCCACAAAGAAAACUAGACACCGUGCAACAGACUCCAACUUGAGACUAGCAAUACCAAGCCAGGAAACAAUCUUGCACUGGAGUUAAUACACUAAUACAACUGAGAAAUUACAGAAAAAUCUUUUGAGGCAUGUUCUUGAAUUUCUUUGAUUGCAAAAAUAUUCUCUCCUAUCAGAUUGACUCGAGCAACUGAUAGUAGCAACCUAUGUUAUCCGGACUCUCCAUUUUUGUGCCUAUACCCGUGUCCACCGGACAUGACAUGGGUGUGGGUAUGGGAUCUGUGUCGGAUCCUUCUUAUUACAACCGGACACCUCACCUUAUAACAUCCCAGGUCAAAAUGAAAACUUAGGUCUUGUUUCAACUUGUUUAUAGAGAUCAAGAUCAAUGAAUGACUUGUUUCUACGUUGUUCUAUUGAUUUUAUGCUUCAAUUUUCAGCGUAUGUGAUUUAUGUGAUUUAUGUGCAGUAGACACUAUUUUUAUGAAUGUACCAUAAAUGAGGCUAUAUAAAGUUUGACUUGUGUGGAGCUUAAGCGCCAAGUCCCCGUACCCAAGUCUAAUUCCGGAUCCACGUCCACGAAUCCUAAUUAUCCUAAAACUACGAAUCUGACUCUUGGAUCUGUACCCGUGUCCGAUACCCAUACCCGUGUCCGGGUAACUUAGGUAGCAACUAUAAAUAAUCAUCCAAGCUAAUACUUGAAGCUACUUCUCAAUAGGAUCGACAAGCAAGUACAGAUACUAAUCUUCUACAGCAGUUGGUAUAGGGCAGUGCCUUACAUUCAAAAUGGAAUAAGAGCCCUUGAAAAAAACAAAGAGGUGCUUAACAGAUUCAUCAUGUGACCUACAACAGGCACAAGUGGGAGCAAUUCGAAUCCCAAUACUAAUCAUGAGGGUAACCUGCUUUUGAUUGCUAGCCAAAUCAUAAAAAGAAUAAACUCUGGGACCUUGAUAAUCGUCCAGAGUUAACUAAAGGGUGCUCUUUAACAAAAUGUUUACUGUCAAUGACUAUUCCGACGGCCAAAAUGCUCCGUCAUAUCAGUAAUUUUGUGUAAACAUAACCCAUUCCGCAGGAUAUAAUCCCAGGAGGGAAUUGCUUUACUGAUUAACUGUCGAGAUUAUUCACAAGGACAAAAUUGGACGACAUUAAACAAGGAAUCAUAAAA
This 1345-nucleotide long non-coding RNA is filed under the name Daucus carota (carrot). RNAcentral describes it as "long non-coding RNA (DCAR_LNC004179)". Lineage: Eukaryota; Viridiplantae; Streptophyta; Magnoliopsida; Apiales; Apiaceae. The record is from RNAcentral.